Molecule: ribosomal RNA, 1368 nt
Filed under: Halorubrum sp. 250-1
Lineage: Archaea; Methanobacteriati; Methanobacteriota; Halobacteria; Halobacteriales; Haloferacaceae
Description: bacterial SSU rRNA
Rfam family: Archaeal small subunit ribosomal RNA
Source: RNAcentral
UGCUAGUUGUACGAGUUCAGACUCGUAGCGAAUAGCUCAGUAACACGUGGCCAAACUACCCUUCGGAACACAAUACCCUCGGGAAACUGAGGCUAAUAGUGUAUAUCGUACCACCACUGGAAUGAGUGGUACGCCAAACGCUCCGGCGCCGAAGGAUGUGGCUGCGGCCGAUUAGGUAGACGGUGGGGUAACGGCCCACCGUGCCAAUAAUCGGUAUGGGUCAUGAGAGUGAGAACCCAGAGACGGAAUCUGAGACAAGAUUCCGGGCCCUACGGGGCGCAGCAGGCGCGAAACCUUUACACUGCACGACAGUGCGAUAGGGGGAUCCCAAGUGCACAGGCAUAGCGCCUGUGCUUUUCGGUACCCUAAGGCGGUACCAGAAUAAGGGCUGGGCAAGACCGGUGCCAGCCGCCGCGGUAAUACCGGCAGCCCAAGUGAUGGCCGAUCUUAUUGGGCCUAAAGCGUCCGUAGCUGGCCGCGCAAGUCCAUCGGGAAAUCCACCUGCUCAACAGGUGGGCGCCCGGUAGAAACUGCGUGGCUUGGGACCGGAAGGCGCGACGGGUACGUCCGGGGUAGGAGUGAAAUCCCGUAAUCCUGGACGGACCGCCGAUGGCGAAAGCACGUCGCGAGAACGGAUCCGACAGUGAGGGACGAAAGCCAGGGUCUCGAACCGGAUUAGAUACCCGGGUAGUCCUGGCCGUAAACAAUGUCUGCUAGGUGUGGCUCCCACUACGAGUGGGUGCUGUGCCGUAGGGAAGCCGCUAAGCAGACCGCCUGGGAAGUACGUCCGCAAGGAUGAAACUUAAAGGAAUUGGCGGGGGAGCACUACAACCGGAGGAGCCUGCGGUUUAAUUGGACUCAACGCCGGACAUCUCACCAGCAUCGACUGUAGUAAUGACGAUCAGGUUGAUGACCUUAUCCGAGUUUCAGAGAGGAGGUGCAUGGCCGCCGUCAGCUCGUACCGUGAGGCGUCCUGUUAAGUCAGGCAACGAGCGAGACCCGCACCCUUACUUGCCAGCAGUACCGCGAGGUAGCUGGGGACAGUAGGGGGACCGCCGUGGCUAACACGGAGGAAGGAACGGGCAACGGUAGGUCAGUAUGCCCCGAAUGUGCUGGGCAACACGCGGGCUACAAUGGUCGAGACAAAGGGUUCCUACUCCGAAAGGAGACGGUAAUCUCAGAAACUCGAUCGUAGUUCGGAUUGUGGGCUGCAACUCGCCCACAUGAAGCUGGAUUCGGUAGUAAUCGCGUGUCACAAGCGCGCGGUGAAUACGUCCCUGCUCCUUGCACACACCGCCCGUCAAAGCACCCGAGUGAGGUCCGGAUGAGGCGUACCACGUACGUCGAAUCUGGGCUUCGCAAGGGGGC